RNAcentral lists this ribosomal RNA (406 nucleotides) under uncultured bacterium. RNAcentral's name for it is "partial 16S ribosomal RNA". It matches the Rfam family "Bacterial small subunit ribosomal RNA", at positions 30 to 526 of the family's 1533-position model. The record is from RNAcentral.
AUUGAACGCUGGCGGCAGGCCUAACACAUGCAAGUCGAACGAGUGGCGGACGGGUGAGUAAUGUCUGGGAAACUGCCUGAUGGAGGGGGAUCACGAAUGGGAACGGUCGCUAAUACCGCAUACCAUCAGAUGUGCCCAAAUGGGGUUAACUUGUUGGUGGGGUAACGGCUCACCAAGGGGACGAUCCCUAGCUGGUCUGAGAGGAUGACCAGCCACACUGUAACUGAGCCACUGUCCAGACUACUACGGGAGGCAGCAGUGUGGAACAUUGCACAAAGGGCGCUAGCCUGAUGCAGCCAUGCCGCGGGGAUGAAGAAGGCCUUCAGGUUGUAAAGUACUUUAAGCGGGUAGGCGUUACCCACAGAAGAAGCACCGGCUAACUCCGCGCCAGCAGCCGCGGUAAUUC